Osmerus eperlanus (European smelt) is the source of this 238-nucleotide long non-coding RNA. RefSeq lists it as uncharacterized. The transcript is spliced from 3 exons. Lineage: Eukaryota; Metazoa; Chordata; Actinopteri; Osmeriformes; Osmeridae. The record is from RefSeq and is a predicted model, not a curated record.
CGUGUUAGACCCACCAGUACAACACUGCUGUCAGGUCUAGCCCAGUACAGCUCACAUACCUUAGCCCCACAGUAGAGUUUAGUCCAGCACAGUCAGGUCUAUAGACUGGUACAGUCAGGUCUAUAGACUGGUACAGUCAGGUCUAUAGACUAGUACAGUCAGGUCUAGACCAGUACAGAUUACAUCCUGGAUCACCAGGGACAGGUCUCGCCUAUUGGAUCUUCCUUACUGACCAGUC